This 433-nucleotide ribosomal RNA is filed under the name uncultured bacterium. Its description in RNAcentral is "partial 16S ribosomal RNA". It matches the Rfam family "Bacterial small subunit ribosomal RNA", at positions 29 to 507 of the family's 1533-position model. The record is from RNAcentral.
AACGAACGCUGGCGGCAUGCCUAACACAUGCAGGUCGAACGAGACCUUCGGGUCUAGUGGCGCACGGGUGCGUAACGCGUGGGAACCUGCCCUUAGGUUCGGAAUAACUCCCCGAAAGGGGUGCUAAUACCGGAUAAUGUCUUCGGACCAAAGAUUUAUCGCCUUUGGAUGGGCCCGCGUUGGGUUAGCUAGUUGGUAGGGUAAAAGCCUGCCAAGGCGACGAUGCAUAGCUGGUCUGAGAGGAUGAUCAGCCACACUGGGACUGAGACACGGCCCAGACUCCUACGGGAGGCAGCAGUGGGGAAUAUUGGACAAUGGGCGAAAGCCUGAUCCAGCAAUGCCGCGUGAGUGAUGAAGGCCUUAGGGUUGUAAAGCUCUUUUACCCGGGAUGAUAAUGACAGUACCGGGAGAAUAAGCUCCGGCUAACUCCGUG